AUUGAACGCUGGCGGCAUGCUUUACACAUGCAAGUCGAACGGCAGCGCGGGCUUCGGCCUGGCGGCGAGUGGCGAACGGGUGAGUAAUACAUCGGAACGUGCCCAGUAGUGGGGGAUAGCUCGGCGAAAGCCGGAUUAAUACCGCAUACGACCUGAGGGUGAAAGCGGGGGAUCUUCGGACCUCGCGCUAUUGGAGCGGCCGAUGGCAGAUUAGCUAGUUGGUGGGGUAAAGGCCUACCAAGGCGACGAUCUGUAGCUGGUCUGAGAGGACGACCAGCCACACUGGGACUGAGACACGGCCCAGACUCCUACGGGAGGCAGCAGUGGGGAAUUUUGGACAAUGGGCGAAAGCCUGAUCCAGCAAUGCCGCGUGUGUGAAGAAGGCCUUCGGGUUGUAAAGUACUUUUGGCGGGAACGAAAAGGACUGAGUCAAUACCACGGUUCGAUGACGGUACCCGCAGAAUAAGCACCGGCUAACUACGUG
This 484-nucleotide ribosomal RNA is filed under the name uncultured bacterium. Its description in RNAcentral is "partial 16S ribosomal RNA". It matches the Rfam family "Bacterial small subunit ribosomal RNA", at positions 29 to 507 of the family's 1533-position model. The record is from RNAcentral.